AAUACUCCAGGCCCGCAUUAAUCUCUAAGCCCGCUGAAAAACACUGUUCCUCUUAGAAACCACAUCCGGCCCUCACCCCCUGAUCAGUAAUAUUGCAUGAACAGUGUUUGAGAUUACAAAUUAUGUUUACAAUUUUAUCCCUCAAUUUACUUCAAAAUAUGAAUUCUUCAGUCCUUUGAUGAGAUUUUCGUCAAAUCCCCUUGAAGGUAAGAUCUGCGAAAUUCUGUUUUUGAGCAUGUAAAGAUUUGGUUCUCGAUGCUUUUCUCUUUCGCCAAAUUUAUUUGCUUUCAAUACAAAUCUGAAAGGGGCCGGUGCAAGCUUACCGACAGGAGAGGUAAGGGUGGGUGGUUCGGCCGCAAUUUUUGGGAGGAGGGGCCGAUGCAAGCUUACAGGAGGAGAUGC
This 402-nucleotide long non-coding RNA is filed under the name Salvia miltiorrhiza (redroot sage). RNAcentral's name for it is "long non-coding RNA (SMIL_LNC010358)". Lineage: Eukaryota; Viridiplantae; Streptophyta; Magnoliopsida; Lamiales; Lamiaceae. The record is from RNAcentral.